GUCAGGAUCAGUCCAGCCCCCAUUUACAAUUGGGGAAACUGCGGCUCCGAAAGGGUCAGAGGGUACCCGAGGUCAAGCAGUAGAGAGCGGACUCGAACUUAAGCUCUUGCUCUUAGGCUGAGAAGCCUUGGCGUGGCCACUGGCUACCCUCUAGGUGGGCGUGGUCAAGACUGGGGCGCCCUGGAAACUUCCCCACCCAAGUUUCUCAGAUUUUCUGUUCCAUCUCUCUCUCACUCUUUCCUGAAAUCCAGAAUUUCAGAACUGGGAAAGCUCUCCAAAACAAUUCAUCCAUUUUACAGAUGGGGCAACUGACUCGGAGAGGCAGUGACAUUUGGGCAUACGGUGCCUUGUUUCCGUCUGAAAUCCGGGAUUCUUGACUUUCUCCACCCUUGCCUAGUGAACCCCGGGCUUGUGCUGGGGGCGGGUUGUGACGGGAUUGGGAUCCCUGACCUCGGGAGGCGAGUGGGGCAGCAGAGCCGGCCCCCCAGCAGUUCCCUUCAUCUCCCCCCGCCCCGCAGUGUGUUGCAUACUUUCUAAGGCGGCGGCUGCAGCAGCGGCUCCAUCCAGCCCGUCAGCUCCUCCUGCAAGGCAUGGCUGGCUACCUGAGUGAAUCGGACUUUGUGAUGGUGGAGGAGGGCUUCAGUACCCGAGACCUGCUGAAGGAACUCACUCUGGGGGCCUCACAGGCCACCACGGUGAGGGGCUGGGAAUGGGGGUGGGUCCCUGGUCCCCUGUACAGAUCAGCUGCCUCCUCAGGAAGGGUCCCUAGGGCCCUCAUCUUAUCCUUUCACUUAUUUGGUACGCAAUCCUUGCUGUUUGCAAGAGAGGGGCUCAAUUUAUCCCCAAUUCUUGGUCCUUGCCCCCAAAACUGCCCCUCCUAUGUUGCCUUUCUACCCAGCCCUCCAAGGUCAGAAACAGGGGAUUCCUCUCCUGCUGCCAGCUCUCCCUCACCGCCCACAUCUAGGCAUUACCAAGCUCUGUGAAUUCUGCCUCCUUAAAUAAGCCUCCAGUGUGCUUAUGUGGAACCUCGCUUUCUAGUUCAGUCUUCCUCUCUCCAAAGGCCCCCUGAUCUCCCUGUCUCAUGCCACCCCCUCCAAAGGUAUGAUAGUCCUGUUCAAAAUCAGAAUUUGGCAAUUCCCCACUGCCUACAGGAUCAAGUCAGAGCUUCCCUGCCUCCAUAGCCCCAUUCCCAGCUUUCCCCACAGUAUAUAUUAUGCUCCUUUGGAGCUGAAUGACUCAAUUUGCAUUUCCUAGUGAUGCCCUGUGCCCUAUUACCAUGCCUUUGCCCAGGCUGUUCCUUCUGCUUGCAGCAUCCUUCUCUCAGCCUCUCCCCUCUUUACCCGUUUCUAGUCAUUCCUUGCUUCUCAUCAGUGUUGCCUUUUCCUGAUCGCCCCAGGCAGAUUUUGUAUUUUCUUUCUCCAUGCCCCCACAUUGCACCUUGUAGAAACUGCCAUCUAACAUCUGCUGAAUGGACUUGUAAGUACUUAAGGGGUUCCUUUUCUUCCAGACCCAAGCUCCUUCAGAGCAACAGUACUGUUUGGUUAUCUCUGUCCCUUAGCAUAACGUUUGGCACCAAGUGGGCAUGAGUAAAAAAGUGUUGCAUGAAAGGAAAACUUAGUCCCAGGGAAGGAACUCUGGAAGGGUCCCUUCCACAUUUAAGUAAUGUGGUCUCACCCACAGUCUCAUACACGUUUGGCCUUUAGCACAUCUGCAAUGAACAGUUGUCCAUAGGGAUAGGUUGCAGUGUCAGUGGGACUAGCUUAAGGCUUCAUCGAGCACCUGUGUUUGGAAGGUAGUGAGCUGUAGGUCAUAGCUUCUGCCUUUAGGGAGUUUACCCUUUUCUAGAAUGGACGGAUGCAUAUGCAGUUCUGAUACCUUGGAAGCAUAUGCAAAUGCAGUGGGAGCAUUUAAAAGCAGAGUUGCCUUAUUGGUUUGGGGAGGGUGGUAUUUGAGUGAAACUUUAAGGAUUUUGCCAGACACAGGAAUGGGGAGGGUAUUCUGCAGGGCAUGGUGGGAACAAAGGUUUGAAGGUGGGAAAAUGAUCCAGCCUACAGCUGGAGUUUUAGCUGCAUUGAGGGGAGGGGUUGGGGCUAGAUCACAGCCUUGAAUGCCAGGCUGAGGAGUUUGCCUUCUGUCCUGUAGGCUUGGGGAGGCCCAGAAAACUUAACAGCAGGGUAGCUCUGUGGCCGGAACUGAACCUGGGUCAGGUACUUGGAAGGAUCAUGGAUGGCAUGCACAGGGUACGAGCUGGAUGGGGUCUCACAUUCAUCCACUUGUUGUCAUUCAGGACCAGGUAGCUGCCUUCUUCGUGGCUGACCUGGGUGCCAUAGUGAGGAAGCACUUUUGCUUUCUGAAGUGCCUGCCACGAGUCCGGCCCUUUUACGCUGUCAAGUGCAACAGCAGCCCAGGUGUGCUGAAGGUUCUGGCCCAGCUGGGGCUGGGCUUUAGCUGUGCCAACAAGGCAGAGAUGGAGUUGGUCCAGCAUAUUGGAGUCCCUGCCAGUAAGAUCAUCUGCGCCAACCCCUGUAAGCAAAUUGCACAGAUCAAAUAUGCUGCCAAGCAUGGGAUCCGGCUGCUGAGCUUUGACAAUGAGAUGGAGCUGGCAAAGGUGGUAAAGAGCCACCCCAGUGCCAAGAUGGUUCUGUGCAUUGCUACCGAUGACUCCCACUCCCUGAGCCGCCUGAGCCUAAAGUUUGGAGUGUCACUGAAAUCCUGCAGACACCUGCUUGAAAAUGCGAAGAAGAGCCACGUGGAGGUGGUGGGUGUGAGUUUUCACAUUGGCAGUGGCUGUCCUGACCCUCAGGCCUACGCUCAGUCCAUCGCAGAUGCCCGGCUCGUGUUUGAAAUGGGCACUGAGCUGGGUCACAAGAUGCACAUUCUGGACCUUGGUGGCGGCUUCCCUGGCACAGAAGGGACUAAAGUGAGAUUUGAAGAGAUUGCUUCCAUGAUCAACUCAGCCUUGGACCUGUACUUCCCAGAGGGCUGUGGCGUGGACAUCUUUGCUGAGCUGGGGCGCUACUACGUGACUUCGGCCUUCACUGUGGCAGUCAGCAUCACUGCCAAGAAGGAGGUUCUGCUGGACCAGCCUGGCAGGGAGGAGGAAAAUGGUUCCACCCGCAAGACCAUCGUGUACCACCUUGAUGAGGGCGUGUAUGGGAUCUUCAACUCAGUCCUGUUUGACAACAUCUGCCCUAUCCCCAUCCUGCAGAAGAAACCAUCCACGGAGCAGCCCCUGUACAGCAGCAGCCUGUGGGGCCCGGCGGUUGAUGGCUGUGACUGCGUGGCUGAGGGCCUGUGGCUGCCGCAACUACACGUAGGGGACUGGCUGGUCUUUGACAACAUGGGUGCCUACACUGUGGGCAUGGGUCCCCCCAAAGGGGGGACCCAGGCCUGCCACAUCACCUAUGCCAUGUCCCGGGUGGCCUGGUAAGAGGGCCCUGCUGGAAAAUGGGGGUAUGGGGAGGAACUGGGCAGAAACGAGGGAAACUUGAGAUUUGAGAUUCUGCUUCUGUGUAAUCCAAUUUGACAAGUAGCUGUUGGCUGCUGGUCCCACGUGAGGCCUGUGCUUGGCACCUGGCUGUGGCCAUAAGUGAGGCUGGGCUUUCCUAGAGGAGCUCACAGCCCUGAGGGAGGCACAGAGAAGCAGACAGGCCCUUGUGAUAAUACUGUGCCUGGUGAAAGUGCAGAGCCCUCCCUGAGGCCCGGGCCUCCCUGAGGAAGUGGGAGUCAACUACAGGAGGGGGUGGUAGGACUUCCCGGAAGAAAGGAACGGAGAGCAAGUGUGGUGCAUUCAAGGCUCUCAUGGAGAGUGGCUGUGACUGGAGAGGGAGGCAGGGCUAGAUCUGGGAAGAGCUUGAAGGCCGAGUGACACGCUUUGACAGCAGUGGGAGGCAUGGACCAGUCUGAAGCAGGGGCAUAACACAGUCUGAUUUGCACUUUGGAAAGACCACCCUAGUUCCUGUAUAGACUGAAGAUAAGGGCAGACGCAGAAAGAGCUGACCAGUGGGUGGCUGCUGUGUGACACAGGAGAGACUUAGUCUGCCUGCUUGCUGAGCCUCGGUCUUUCCAUCUGGAAAAUAGGCAUAACAGUAGCCCUGCCUGCCCCACCAGGCUAGUGCUGGGAUCCAGUGAGGCAAGAGGCAUGCAAGAUGGGGGAGUCACAUCCAGUGAACCCUGACAUCAGGCCUUACGUUAGGCGUCGUAUGACUAUUUCACCCACACAAAACUCUGUGGGGGUCAGCGUUGUCACAGACAGGUCAUUCUUCUGAGGUCACGCAGCUAGUCAGUGGUGAAGGGUCCCUCUUUGGGGGUAGGGAGAGGGCUACAGAAAGCAGGAGCAGUUUGCCCAGGCACAUUCAAUUCCUCUGCUGUGUCCGGUCUCAGGACUCACCAAAGCUGAGACCUGAAGGCUAAGGAGGAAUUAGGUGAGGGUUGAUGAUGCAGGCAGAGAGACAAGGAUGGAUCCAGGCUGGGGAGAGGACAUGUGUAAGAGCCCAAAAGGUGGCCAUAGUGAAUGGCCCAGGUGUGUGGGCGGGUGUGGCCAGGGGUGGGCAGAAGAGGUGGGUAGGGCCAGAUCUUGCAGGGCCUGAGAGCAGAGGGAAAUGGCUGGCAGCUCAAGGGCAGGGAUUUGCUUUUUGGAAAGAUGAAUCUGGGCCCUGGCUGAGAACUGUCUGGAGAGGGCACGAGCAGAUCAGGGAGACUGAAAUGGUGUUACCCAUGGGGAUGGAGACCACAGGGCACAUGAGGAUGUUCAGAAGCUGGGCUCAGCAGGGCUGUACUGGGUGUGGGAACAAGAUUGCCAACUAUUUCCAACACUGAUGGUGGAGCCAUUGAUCAACAUGGGUAUGUAGGAGGAGAAGCAGUUUGUGGGAUUGUUUGAGAGAAUGGGAUAUGAUUUUGUUUGAAGUCCCAAGCCUGGGGUAUGAUGAAUGUGGGCUUUGGAGUGAGAGUUGGGUUCAGUCCUAGUUCCACUACCUACUAGUGAUGUGGUCUUAGGUAGGUCACUUCUCUCUCUGGGGAACUGAUUGAUUACAUCAUUAACGCAAGGGGGUGGUAAUAACUCCCUCAUGGGGUUUUUGGGAAGAUACAAAUAGAUAAUAUAAGUGCCCGGCAUGAUGUCUGGCACACAGUAAAUGCUUGAUACAUGUGGAUUUCUUUCCCUUGUUGAGGGGUGGGGACCACACGGGAGUAGGAAGCAGUUGGGGAGGGGUCAGCAGCCUGUCCCUGCCCCUGCCCUCAGCUGAGCUCGGGCUCAGGUGAGAGCCCUCUGCCCAAUGGGGCUGCGUCUCCAGGUACAGGGCCCUGCCAGCCCCAUGCUGGCUACUUGCAGCACCCCUCUCUCACCCCUAGGGAAGCGCUGGGAAGGCAGCUGAUGGCUGCAGAACAGGAGGAUGACGUGGAGGGUGUGUGCAAGCCUCUGUCCUGCGGCUGGGAGAUCACAGACACCCUGUGCGUGGGCCCUGUCUUCACCCCGGCGAGCAUCAUGUGAGCGGGCCUCGUUCCCCCCGGAGAACCCCAGCGGGGCCUCAGAGAUGCGUCUGGGAGAGGUGGGGAAGAUGGCAGGCAAGGGUACCCUUGGCCAGGACUCUGGUACCCACCCUGCCACCCCCGCGCUCCACCUGCAGUGUUUCUGCCCUGUAAAUAGGACCAGUCUUACACUCGCUGUAGUUCAAGUAUGCGACAUAAAUCCUGUUCCUUCCAGCUGUGUCUGCCUCCUCUGCAGUGCAAGGGGCCUGGUCAGCCAGGUGUGGGGGUGUUCUUGAGGUCUCCUUUGGUCUCCUUCCCACCUUUGUAAAUAUAAUGCAAAUAAAUAAAUAUUUAGGUUUUUUAAAACUGC
Molecule: small RNA, 5836 nt
Filed under: Pongo abelii (Sumatran orangutan)
Lineage: Eukaryota; Metazoa; Chordata; Mammalia; Primates; Hominidae
Description: processed transcript
Source: RNAcentral